Long non-coding RNA from Oncorhynchus keta (chum salmon), 819 nucleotides. RefSeq lists it as uncharacterized. The record is from RefSeq and is a predicted model, not a curated record. NCBI's taxonomy places the organism in Eukaryota, Metazoa, Chordata, Actinopteri, Salmoniformes, Salmonidae. The transcript is spliced from 4 exons.
UCUGACUGAAUCCCUUCCUAUAUGUCCCUGUCAGAGGUCUACAACGUACCUCUGACUGAAUCCCUUCCUAUAUGUCCCUGUCAACAGAGGUCUACAACGUACCUCUGACUGAAUCCCUUCCUAUAUGUCCCUGUCAACAGAGGUCUACAACGUACCUCUGACUGAAUCCCUUCCUAUAUGUCCCUGUCAGAGGUCUACAACGUACCUCUGACUGAAUCCCUUCCUAUAUGUCCCUGUCAGAGGUCUACAACGUACCUCUGACUGAAUCCCUUCCUAUAUGUCCCUGUCAGAGGUCUACAACGUACCUCUGACUGAAUCCCUUCCUAUAUGUCCCUGUCAACAGAGGUCUACAACGUACCUCUGACUGAAUCCCUUCCUAUAUGUCCCUGUCAGAGGUCUACAACGUACAUCUGACUGAAUCCCUUCCUAUAUGUCCCUGUCAACAGAGGUCUACAACGUACCUCUGACUGAAUCCAGACCUAUAUGUCCCUGUCAACAGAGGUCUACAACGUACCUCUGACUGAAUCCCUUCCUAUAUGUCCCUGUCAACAGAGGUCUACAACGUACCUCUGACUGAAUCCCUUCCUAUAUGUCCCUGUCAGAGGUCUACAACGUACCUCUGACUGAAUCCCUUCCUAUAUGUCCCUGUCAACAGAGGUCUACAACGUACCUCUGACUGAAUCCCUUCCUAUAUGUCCCUGUCAACAGAGGUCUACAACGUACCUCUGACUGAAUCCCUUCCUAUAUGUCCCUGUCAGAGGUCUACAACGUACCUCUGACUGAAUCCCUUCCUAUAUGUCCCUGUCAGAGAGGUCUGAA